UACGUAGGUGGCAAGCGUUGUCCGGAAUUAUUGGGCGUAAAGCGCGCGCAGGCGGCUUCUUAAGUCUGAUGUGAAAUUUUUCGGCUCAACCGGGGAGGGCCAUUGGAAAUUGGGUGGCUUGAGUAUAGGAGAGAAGAGUGGAAUUCCACGUGUAGCGGUGAAAUGCGUAGAGAUGUGGAGGAACACCAGUGGCGAAGGCGACUCUUUGGCCUAUAACUGACGCUGAGGCGCGAAAGCGUGGGGAGCAAACAGA
This 253-nucleotide unclassified non-coding RNA is filed under the name uncultured Caryophanales bacterium. RNAcentral's name for it is "uncultured Bacillales bacterium contains 16S-23S intergenic spacer region". It matches the Rfam family "Bacterial small subunit ribosomal RNA", at positions 524 to 776 of the family's 1533-position model. The record is from RNAcentral. Lineage: Bacteria; Bacillati; Bacillota; Bacilli; Caryophanales.